UUUGAUCCUGGUUCAGGACGAACGCUGGCGGCGUGUUUAACACAAGCAAGUCGAAGGAAUGAACUCAAACGGAUUUUUUUGGAAUGAAGUUUGGAUGAUUUAGUGGCGAACGGGUGAGUAACACUUGAGAAACCUGCCUUUCACAGAGGGAUAGCCGUUGGAAACGACGAUUAAUACCUCAUGACAUCAAGAUACCGCAUGGUAAUUUGAUUAAAGAUUUAUCGGUGAAAGAUGGUCUCGCGUCUGAUUAGCUAGUUGGUAAGGUAGUGGCUUACCAAGGCGACGAUCAGUAGCCGGCCUGAGAGGGUGAACGGCCACACUGGAACUGAGACACGGUCCAGACUCCUACGGGAGGCAGCAGUGGGGAAUUUUGCACAAUGGGGGAAACCCUGAUGCAGCGACGUCGCGUGAACGAUGAAGGCCUUCGGGUUGUAAAGUUCUGUCCUUGGCGAAGAUAAUGACGGUAGCCAAGGAGGAAGCCCCGGCUAACUACGUGCCAGCAGCCGCGGUAAUACGUAGGGGGCGAGCGUUGUCCGGAAUUAUUGGGCGUAAAGGGUACGUAGGCGGUUUUUUAAGUCAGCAGUUAAAGCGCGGGGCUCAACCCCGUAAAGCUGUUGAAACUGGAGAACUUGAGAGAUGGAGAGGAAAGUGGAAUUCCUAGUGUAGCGGUGAAAUGCGUAGAUAUUAGGAGGAAUACCGGUGGCGAAGGCGACUUUCUGGACAUCAACUGACGCUGAGGUACGAAAGCGUGGGGAGCAAACAGGAUUAGAUACCCUGGUAGUCCACGCCGUAAACGAUGAGUGCUAGGUGUCGGGGGUCAAACCUCGGUGCCGUCGUAA
This 839-nucleotide ribosomal RNA is filed under the name uncultured bacterium. RNAcentral describes it as "bacterial SSU rRNA". It matches the Rfam family "Bacterial small subunit ribosomal RNA", at positions 12 to 854 of the family's 1533-position model. The record is from RNAcentral.